RNAcentral lists this long non-coding RNA (4428 nucleotides) under Limulus polyphemus (Atlantic horseshoe crab). RNAcentral's name for it is "uncharacterized LOC111086405". Lineage: Eukaryota; Metazoa; Arthropoda; Merostomata; Xiphosura; Limulidae. The record is from RNAcentral.
GUAAAAAAAGAGAGCAACAGUACAGAAAUACAAGAAGAUGAAACAGUGGUAGAAGAACUGGUGGAAAUUGUGGAAUUUAGAAACUCGAAAGAAGAGGUAGUGAGAGUUUCUUUUCCACUCAACAAAACUGCGGUUAAUCACUCACAGGAAAAUAGAGAAAAUCUGCUUCGCUUCUCUCAAAGGAACCUGUGGUGCAAUAGUGACUCUUCACUUGAUGGAAGUCCAUUUAUAUUUGAAACAAACGUUGAAGUACAUCAAGACUGUACCAGCUCAAAUUCUUCCUGUUCAUCUUUCUAUUCGAUUCACUCAGUUAAAGUAGAGGACAAUUAUACUGUGAAGAAUAGUCACUCAUAAGAAUAUAUAGUUACCAUUCUGAACACAAAAAGAAACCUGUGAUAUACUAAGUGGUUAUUCACUUGUUCAAACAGCACUUAUAGUUGCAAGGAAAGCCAUAUUAAGUAGGGUUUCCAAUAUUACCAACUGGUGGAACUUAAUGGGCAGAGCCCUGACAAACAGAAUGUGUAGGAUAAUUUUAAAUAUCCUCAUAGUUUUUGCAAUACAUAGUAUGCCGGACGUGGCCUAAACGUUAGUGUGACAGGAUGUGGAAUCGAAGGAUCCAAAAUUCAAGAUACCGUUGAACACGUUCAUUACCUUAAAAAAUCACUGACAGAAAAUGACAAAUUUGUGUGGUUUUACUUACAUUUGUAGAAUUCAUCAGUUGAACGUGUGAACAGUGGAAAGCUAACUUAAAUAACAGAGAAAUAUACAUAAGUUUGUUAGAUGGCCUCAAAAGAUAUAUUCAAUUCCUGAAGAAGAAGUGGGAUCUCAUUGUAGAUGAAGUAUUGCUCAUUUUUUUUUUCUUUCAUCUUGGAAGAAGAUUCUCUUUCCUCUGAGUCAGAGGAGGAAGCCACAACAUCAACAAUGAAUUGUGAAAAACCCUCAUUGAUGGUUUCUCUUUUCUUUGAGGACCCUGACAUACAGUCAUGGGAAGAAGACUCUCCUCAUGACCCACAACAAUUUGAAGAUACUGCUACUGGUCCUCCCACAACCAGCACCACAUCCACUUCCAAAAUGGCCAGAGGUAAGAAGACACAGCAAAAGCCUCUGACCUGUAGUGCAGAAUGGAAAUGGGAGGUACUUGAAGAUGAGGAACCUAAAUUGUUGUGGGACUUCAUUCGAGAAGAGCAUGUUUCCUGUCUAGCUAGCAGGUGUCAGACUCCUCUUGAUUUUUAUCAACUGUAUUUUACUCUCAGUAUUGUAACCAAAAUUGCUGAAGAAACAAACAGAUUUGCACACCAGCAAAGGGAGGAACACCAAAAAAAAAUGCUAUCAGAAAGAAAAGAAGAAUGCUGAAAUAUAGUGGUGUUACUCCUGAAGAAAUUUCAGUUUUUAUUGGUGUAAGUAUAGAUAUACAUCACUUACCAUCUUUUUCAGAUUACUAGUAUAUCACUCCUUUAAUUCAUUUACCCUGGUUUUCUUCAAUAUUUUCCAGAGAAAAAUUUCUAACUAUCGCUCACUUCCUGCAUUUCAAUCUAAAAAUGAUGCUAAGCAUGAUAAACUCUUCAAAGUCAGGCAUGUGCUCAAUCAUUUAUUAACAGUUUUUUCAGCUCACUAUAACCCUACUAGGGAACUAUCUAUUGAUUAAAAAAUGCUGGGAACAAAGGGGAGAAUUUCAUUUAAACAAUAUCUACCUAACAAGCCUACCAAGUGCGGCAUCAAACUGUGAGUUCUGGCAGAAGCUGUAACUGGAUAUUGUUUAAAUUUUAGAGUAUACUCUGGUAAAAGGGGAUCUGUACCUUUCAAGGGCUUAGCUAACACAGUUGUAAUGACUCUGAUGGAAAAGUACCUUGAAAGAGGACACAGUCCUUUUACUGACAACUUUUAUACAUCUCCAACUCUGUUUGAUAAGUUGCUUUCACUUAGCACUCGUAGGAAAAACAGGGCCUACUUCCCAAACAUGUUUACAAGUAAUUUAAAAAGGGAAGGGUCAAAGUUUUUAUGCUGUGGCUUAAUGACUGCUGUGUACUGAUAAGAGAGAUGUCUAUGCUCUUUCUACAUCAGUUGACUAAAAUUGUAUGUAUACUUCUUCGUGCAUAAUUUAGCAGUUAGAUUUUUAUUGUUUUCUUCUGCACUAUACUCAUGGGUUGUAAUAAAUUGUGUAAAGCAUAUUCAUUUAUUUAUAAAGCUUGUUUAUUCAUUUAUUUAUAAAGCUUGUUUAUUCAUUUAUUCUCCUUAUAAGUUUGACAAUUUUUCUUAUAAGUACUUUGUGUUUAUGAUCAUUGAUGCUCUUCUUGUGUAUAUGUAUCUUCAGUUGUAACUUUUGUAUAUAUAUUUUAUGUAAUUCAAUUUUCUGUUGUGAGUCAUGAUCGGGUUUUACAAAAGAUUAGAAGCUAUCACAAUAAAUACAGAACAAUUAUGAAACCAAUGAAAAGCAGUCAAAGUGACACUUACAAAGCCAAAGAAUUCCAAGAACAAGCAGCAAAAGAUGUUUUCAACAUUUUCCUUUAAGUGUUCAGAUUUUUCUUUGUGUGAUUGUGCUAAGGAUUGCAAAGUACCAAAGAAAAAAUAGACUUUUCUCUUACAUCAAAGAAGUGACAGAAACAUUAUUAUAGGCUCAGUCAACACCUCUACUACUAAAAACUCCAAGAAAUGGAAAAAAGAAAAUACAGAGCAUUACUUCCCUUUGAACAAAACACAGACAAUACAACUGAGACAAAAUGGGAUGAUGAUGAACCAUGUGAAAUGAAACUCCCUGAAUCUGAUACCAAUAAUGACUAUGUUUUACCCAUGUACUAUUUGCAGAGAGCUGUGGAAAAUGGUAAUGAACAAAGGCCUUCAUCAUCAAAAGGUGAAAAAACACAUCUCAAAUGAGGCUGCCAUUAACAGCAUUUGCAGGAGCUUGCAACAGGACAGGAGUGUUUGACAGAGCAGCUUCUACAAUUGCUAGUGCAAUUAUGGAAGAUGUAGGACUAAUUACAAAACAGAAUAGUUUGAAAAUUGUAGACAGGACUAAUGUACAAUGGGAAUGAUUUAAAAAUAGAGCUAAAUUACAAAAUGUCCUCAAAGCCUAUUCUUUGAUUACCAAAAAUACAAAACUCUGAAGCAAGAAAAAAAAAAGGUUAUAAAUAUUACAAAACAACAAUUACAGAUUAAAAUUUGGCAAUACUUGAGGAACCUGGAUCAAAGUAUUUAAGACACACACAACACGUGUCUGGCACUGGUGAAUGUAUCAAAACAAGUAUCAUAUAAUAUUUAGAGGAAAACAACAUAAAUACUGAAGAAAUAGUAGCUAUUGGAUGGGCCUGCAGUGAAUACCGGACCAAGGGGUGGAGUCAUCCAACUACUAGAAGAACAUUUUAGGAAACCAUUGCAAUGGCUAGUAUGUCAACUCCAUGCUAGUGAGCUAGUAUUGCGACAUCUUGAUGGACACACUAAAGGACCUUACAGCUAUUCAGGUCCUAUUGGCAAAAGUUUGGAAGGUUGUGAGAAUCUGCCUGUAGCUGUGUUCCAAAAAGUCGAAGUUCAGCUACUCGCAUUAUCUCAGUGAAGAAUUCAAACAUAGAAUAGUGGAUCCAGUUAUACAGAGGAAUGCCUUUUUUGGUCACCCGGAAAACAUUCUCUUAGCUAUGAUUACAGAUGACCAACAACAUAUAAGGGAGUUAGGACUAAGAAGAAUCAUGAGAUCAAGAAAACAAAAGCCUCCAGAAUUUAGACAAUAUCAAAUACCACCACUUAGGUUUGAUGCAGUAAGAUUAAUUGAAUGGCAACAUUGCAAUUUGACAGAGCCACUUUUAACAAUGAAACUUUCAUACAAUGAAUUGGGACUUAUGGUAAAAUCAAAGGACGUGCCAAUGCUUAAAACUGCAAGGUUUCCAUAUCAUACCCAAGCUGUUGAAAGAUGUAUUAAACUUAUGACUGAAGCAUCAAGUGCUGUUUAUGGACAAGACUCAAGAAAUGGAUGCAUACAUGCAAGGCUGAAAUCCUGAUAGCUGAUGCCCUCAUUUGAAUCUAAAAACAAAUAUCAUAUCUCACAGUAAACAGGACCUAAAGUGCUCACAAGGUUGAGUGGAAUGGGUGGGCACAGGUGGAACUCGAUAUACAGCCACCUCCUCAUGGCAAGUUCUGGGUUGCUUCAAUGGAUAAUUGUUGAAAGAAGCAAAGAGCUGCAUGAAAGAUGCUGUAAGAUGUAAAUUAUGUUUAUCACAUACUUCAAGCUUCUUGGAGCACCACAAGAUAAUCCCAGAUAUCAAUGAAACUUUUCAGGAUUACUAUGUGUCCUAUCCGAAAAAUUUUCCGCACUAUCAGAAAAAAAUUUUACGUGAAAAAUUUACUCCACCCUAAUGGACAGCUCUAUGUUAGAUACUCAGAACAAUAAGGGCCUAUUUAUCCUUGCCAGUGAAGGAAAAACAAUAAGCACCAUUCAUAAGG